UUCAGUUUCAUGCCUGGGGCGUUUUGUCACUUUCUCUCCUAGAGUUGUAAAACUUAUCUUUCUGCAAAAGAAUUGUGGGGGAAAUAUGUUAUAUUUUAACAUUCUAAUAAGAUGUUUUAGACUAUCAGGCAUAGUUUUGUAGUUACUGAGUCUGAAAAAAAUAAGAAAAUCUUUAUUUUCUCAAAUACCCAUUUUCAUUGGUUUCUCCCUAGAGUUUGGUUUUUGUGACUGCCAUCUCAUGUACUUUUCUAUAUAGAAAAGAACGCUUUGAGGUAUGUAAUCAUGUCCUUCUGGAGAAUUUUACCUAACCAAAUGCAAACUCCUUGACCAAGAACACAUAUAAAGUAAACUCUGGGUAUAUUUGCAAGAUCGUCCUUUAAUUUGUGCUCCAAAGACAGAAGAUUAUCCUAUUCUGAUGUGAUGAGGCUUUAAAAGCUUCAAGACUAGUAAGGAAAUGGAAAUGUCAGAACACAGUAGCUGGGUUGCUAAGGUGUGUGGAACAAAAUAAGACAUCUACGCAUUGAAAGGGAGAUUGUCAUCUAGAAAGACAAUGGAAUUCAUCCCAUUAAUGGAAAUAUGUAAUUAACAAGCUGCUGGUGUCAGUCUGUAGUGAGAACCCUGGCUUGGGCUCUUGCCUCCUAUAGAGUGGCAGUCUUGUCAACGUCUUCUGGCUCCUUGUGGGGGCGGCACAGAUACAAGUGCAAAGAGGAAAUCAGCCUCCCCACUUUCAUGGAAUCUUAGAUGUUUGAGACUACAUUCCAAGGAGAUGGACGAUUGAAUAAAGAGCACCGUAACGCAUCCUCGUGAUUAUUCAGAUGUCACUCUAAAAUAUUUAUCAUCUUGGUAAGUCUAAAGCCAUCGCAACAGCUCAUAUGCAACCAUGAAUAUCAUACUAACACCAC
This 902-nucleotide long non-coding RNA is filed under the name Macaca mulatta (Rhesus monkey). RNAcentral describes it as "lncRNA (ENSMMUG00000056900.1)". Lineage: Eukaryota; Metazoa; Chordata; Mammalia; Primates; Cercopithecidae. The record is from RNAcentral.